GAUGAACGCUGGCGGCGUGCCUAACACAUGCAAGUCGAACGGCCCGCAAGGGCAGUGGCAAACGGGUGCGUAGCACGUAGGGAUCUACCGCAUAGCUGGGGACAACGAUUGGAAACGGUCGCUAAUACCCGAUGUGCUCUGAGGAGCAAAGACGCAAGUCACUAUGCGAGGAGCCUGCGGCCUAUCAGGUAGUUGGUGAGGUAAUGGCUCACCAAGCCAUCGAC
RNAcentral lists this ribosomal RNA (224 nucleotides) under uncultured bacterium. Its description in RNAcentral is "partial 16S ribosomal RNA". It matches the Rfam family "Bacterial small subunit ribosomal RNA", at positions 28 to 280 of the family's 1533-position model. The record is from RNAcentral.